GGGGAUAUAGCUCACUUGGUAGAGCAUUUGCCUUGCAUGUACAAAGCCCUGGGUUCAAUCCUUUGCACCACCA
This 73-nucleotide transfer RNA is filed under the name Ictidomys tridecemlineatus (thirteen-lined ground squirrel). Its description in RNAcentral is "Spermophilus tridecemlineatus (thirteen-lined ground squirrel) tRNA". It matches the Rfam family "tRNA". From Rfam's summary of the family: Transfer RNA (tRNA) molecules are approximately 80 nucleotides in length. Their secondary structure includes four short double-helical elements and three loops (D, anti-codon, and T loops). The record is from Rfam by way of RNAcentral. Lineage: Eukaryota; Metazoa; Chordata; Mammalia; Rodentia; Sciuridae.